UACCUAUAGCACUUGUUUACUAAUAA
Molecule: small RNA, 26 nt
Filed under: Bombyx mori (domestic silkworm)
Lineage: Eukaryota; Metazoa; Arthropoda; Insecta; Lepidoptera; Bombycidae
Description: ovarian small RNA-20838
Source: RNAcentral